Molecule: non-coding RNA, 47 nt
Organism: Aedes aegypti (yellow fever mosquito)
Lineage: Eukaryota; Metazoa; Arthropoda; Insecta; Diptera; Culicidae
Source: Rfam
AAUUCGGCCCUUUUCAGGGCCAACAUUAACGUUCAUAAAAGGGUUUU